This 73-nucleotide transfer RNA is filed under the name Nesotrochis steganinos (Haitian cave-rail). RNAcentral describes it as "tRNA-Trp". It matches the Rfam family "tRNA". Rfam says of the family: Transfer RNA (tRNA) molecules are approximately 80 nucleotides in length. The record is from RNAcentral. Lineage: Eukaryota; Metazoa; Chordata; Aves; Gruiformes; Rallidae.
AGAAACUUAGGAUUACAGACCAAACCGAAGGCCUUCAAAGCCUUAAACAAGAGUUAAACCCUCUUAGUUUCUG